This 278-nucleotide ribosomal RNA is filed under the name Oxyrrhis marina. RNAcentral's name for it is "partial Bacterial small subunit ribosomal RNA". It matches the Rfam family "Bacterial small subunit ribosomal RNA", at positions 1093 to 1377 of the family's 1533-position model. The record is from RNAcentral. Lineage: Eukaryota; Dinophyceae; Oxyrrhinales; Oxyrrhinaceae.
CGAGCGCAACCCUUGUCAUUAGUUGCUACGAAAGGGCAUUCUAAUGAGACUGCCGGUGACAAACCGGAGGAAGGUGGGGAUGACGUCAAGUCCUCAUGGCCCUUACGGGUUGGGCUACACACGUGCUACAAUGGACAAUACAAAGGGCAGCGAAACCGCGAGGUCAAGCAAAUCCCAUAAAGUUGUUCUCAGUUCGGAUUGUAGUCUGCAACUCGACUACAUGAAGCUGGAAUCGCUAGUAAUCGUAGAUCAGCAUGCUACGGUGAAUACGUUCCCGG